AUGAGCCUCACUUAGACCGCACAGACUUUAAAACUGGGCCAAUAUAGAGGAGACUAGCACGGCUCCUGCAAAAGGAUGGCACCCAGUUAGAGACGUGUCCCGUGUUUGU
This is a small nuclear RNA of Echinops telfairi (small Madagascar hedgehog), 109 nucleotides long. Lineage: Eukaryota; Metazoa; Chordata; Mammalia; Afrosoricida; Tenrecidae. The record is from Ensembl.